Molecule: ribosomal RNA, 253 nt
Filed under: uncultured bacterium
Lineage: Bacteria
Description: partial 16S ribosomal RNA
Rfam family: Bacterial small subunit ribosomal RNA
Source: RNAcentral
UACGGAGGGUGCAAGCGUUAUCCGGAUUUACUGGGUUUAAAGGGUGCGUAGGCGGGCCUGUAAGUCAGUGGUGAAAUCUUCCCGCUUAACGGGAAAACUGCCAUUGAUACUAUAGGUCUUGAAUUCAGUUGAGGUGGGCGGAAUGUGUCGUGUAGCGGUGAAAUGCUUAGAUAUGACACAGAACACCGAUCGCGAAGGCAGCUCGCUAAACUGACAUUGACGCUGAGGCACGAAAGCGUGGGGAUCAAACAGG